This 403-nucleotide ribosomal RNA is filed under the name uncultured bacterium. Its description in RNAcentral is "bacterial SSU rRNA". It matches the Rfam family "Bacterial small subunit ribosomal RNA", at positions 355 to 775 of the family's 1533-position model. The record is from RNAcentral.
UAGGGAAUAUUAGUAACGGGCGCAAGCCUGAACUAGCAACGCCGCGUGUGCGAAGAAGGCCUUCGGGUUGUAAAGCACUUUUUGAGAGGAUGAGGAAGGACGGUACUCUCAGAAUAAGUCUCGGCUAACUACGUGCCAGCAGCCGCGAUAACACGUAGGAGGCAAACGUUAUCCGGAUUUACUGGGCGUAAAGCGCGUGUAGGUGGUUUGGUAAGUAGGGCGUGAAAGCUCCUGGCUCAACUGGGAGAGGCCGUUCUAAACUGCCGAACUAGAGGAUGGUAGAGGGAGGUGGAAUUCCGGGUGUAGCGGUGGAAUGCGCAGAUAUCCGGAGGAACACCAGUGGCGAAAGCGGCCUCCUGGACCAUUCCUGACACUCAGACGCGAAAGCUAGGGUAGCAAACGG